AUCUAACUGAGGAGUCCUAAAUAGGAUGAAACGCUUAUCAAACUAGAU
Molecule: non-coding RNA, 48 nt
Filed under: Schistosoma curassoni
Lineage: Eukaryota; Metazoa; Platyhelminthes; Trematoda; Strigeidida; Schistosomatidae
Source: RNAcentral